CGUCAUUCCCCGGGGAGCCAUCAGGCUGAGAGGGGCGGUGCAAAUCCGCCCGACCCGUAGAACCUGAUCCGGCCCCUUGAUGGGCUUACCGGCGUAGGGAGGGAACGGCCUUUUUCU
Molecule: non-coding RNA, 117 nt
Filed under: Sphingomonas panacis
Lineage: Bacteria; Pseudomonadati; Pseudomonadota; Alphaproteobacteria; Sphingomonadales; Sphingomonadaceae
Description: TPP sequence
Rfam family: TPP riboswitch aptamer (THI element)
About the family: Vitamin B(1) in its active form thiamin pyrophosphate (TPP) is an essential coenzyme that is synthesised by coupling of pyrimidine and thiazole moieties in bacteria. The previously detected thiamin-regulatory element, thi box was extended, resulting in a new, highly conserved RNA secondary structure, the THI element, which is widely distributed in eubacteria and also occurs in some archaea.
Source: RNAcentral